RNAcentral lists this ribosomal RNA (824 nucleotides) under Pseudomonas sp. enrichment culture clone S-5-12. Its description in RNAcentral is "bacterial SSU rRNA". It matches the Rfam family "Bacterial small subunit ribosomal RNA", at positions 56 to 877 of the family's 1533-position model. Lineage: Bacteria; Pseudomonadati; Pseudomonadota; Gammaproteobacteria; Pseudomonadales; Pseudomonadaceae. The record is from RNAcentral.
UGCAGUCGAGCGGAUGAAGUAAGCUUGCUUACGGAUUCAGCGGCGGACGGGUGAGUAAUGCCUAGGAAUCUGCCUGGUAGUGGGGGAUAACGUUUCGAAAGGAGCGCUAAUACCGCAUACGUCCUACGGGAGAAAGCAGGGGACCUUCGGGCCUUGCGCUAUCAGAUGAGCCUAGGUCGGAUUAGCUAGUUGGUGAGGUAAUGGCUCACCAAGGCUACGAUCCGUAACUGGUCUGAGAGGUGAUCAGUCACACUGGAACUGAGACACGGUCCAGACUCCUACGGGAGGCAGCAGUGGGGAAUAUUGGACAAUGGGCGAAAGCCUGAUCCAGCCAUGCCGCGUGUGUGAAGAAGGUCUUCGGAUUGUAAAGCACUUUAAGUUGGGAGGAAGGGCAGUAAGCUAAUAUCUUGCUGUUUUGACGUUACCGACAGAAUAAGCACCGGCUAACUCUGUGCCAGCAGCCGCGGUAAUACAGAGGGUGCAAGCGUUAAUCGGAAUUACUGGGCGUAAAGCGCGCGUAGGUGGUUUGUUAAGUUGGAUGUGAAAGCCCCGGGCUCAACCUGGGAACUGCAUCCAAAACUGGCAAGCUAGAGUAUGGUAGAGGGUGGUGGAAUUUCCUGUGUAGCGGUGAAAUGCGUAGAUAUAGGAAGGAACACCAGUGGCGAAGGCGACCACCUGGACUGAUACUGACACUGAGGUGCGAAAGCGUGNGGAGCAAACAGGAUUAGAUACCCUGGUAGUCCACGCCGUNAACGAUGUCAACUAGCCGUUGGGAGCCUUGAGCUCUUAGUGGCGCAGCUAACGCAUUAAGUUGACCGCCUGGG